UGCCAGCCGCCGCGGUAAUACGGAGGGUGCAAGCGUUAAUCGGAAUCACUGGGCGUAAAGCGUGCGUAGGCGGUUCGGUAAGUCAGAAGUGAAAGCCCUCGGCUCAACCGGGGAAUUGCUUUUGAAACUGCCAGACUUGAGUAUUGGAGAGGUAAGCGGAAUUCCAGGUGUAGGAGUGAAAUCCGUAGAUAUCUGGAGGAACAUCAGUGGCGAAGGCGGCUUACUGGACAAUUACUGACGCUGAGGUACGAAAGCGUGGGGAGCAAACAGGAUUAGAUA
RNAcentral lists this ribosomal RNA (279 nucleotides) under uncultured bacterium. RNAcentral describes it as "partial 16S ribosomal RNA". It matches the Rfam family "Bacterial small subunit ribosomal RNA", at positions 506 to 784 of the family's 1533-position model. The record is from RNAcentral.